This 467-nucleotide long non-coding RNA is filed under the name Serinus canaria (Common canary). RNAcentral describes it as "lncRNA (ENSSCAG00000008529.1)". The record is from RNAcentral. Lineage: Eukaryota; Metazoa; Chordata; Aves; Passeriformes; Fringillidae.
CUGGGUGACAUUGAGAGCAGCAGUGGAGCGCUGGCUGUCCCCGUGGCUGCCGGGGCGGCUGGCCCUCGGCGACACUGAGGUGGCAGCAGUGGAGCGCUGGCUGUCCCCGUGGCUGCCAGGGCGGCUGGCCGGGGCUCUGAGCAUGUCUGCGGGCACCGAGGCAGCCAGGCAUCUUCCCUGUCCCUCAGCUGGUUUUGAGCCUCCUGUACCCACUCUCUGAUGCUGGAGCAACUGCUGAAGGAUGCGGCCGCAGGCGCCUGGGGCUGUCUCGCUAACAAGGAGCAGAUUCCUCAAAAGCCUGCGGAGGAGACGUAGGAUCUUCAAGCAAAUUCUGGCAGCUGGAUCCCGAUAGCAGGUGGUGGUCACAUACAUGGAGGGGUGUUGGGUGUAAAAGUGAAGUUGAGUUUGAACCAUUUAGGCUCAAGCUGAUAAACUCAUAAAUAUGUGGGGAUUCUGUUUGUUUUUUA